Molecule: ribosomal RNA, 253 nt
Filed under: uncultured bacterium
Lineage: Bacteria
Description: partial 16S ribosomal RNA
Rfam family: Bacterial small subunit ribosomal RNA
Source: RNAcentral
UACGGAGGGAGCUAGCGUUGUUCGGAAUUACUGGGCGUAAAGCGCACGUAGGCGGCUUUGUAAGUUAGAGGUGAAAGCCCGGGGCUCAACUCCGGAACUGCCUUUAAGACUGCAUCGCUUGAAUCCAGGAGAGGUGAGUGGAAUUCCGAGUGUAGAGGUGAAAUUCGUAGAUAUUCGGAAGAACACCAGUGGCGAAGGCGGCUCACUGGACUGGUAUUGACGCUGAGGCGCGAAAGCGUGGGGAGCGAACAGG